UUAGCAUAUCAAUAAGCGGAGGAAAAGAAACUAACAAGGAUUCCCCUAGUAACUGCGAGUGAAGCGGGAAAAGCUCAAAUUUAAAAUCUGGCGGUUUCACCGUCCGAGUUGUAAUCUGGAGAAGCGUUUUCCGCGUCGGACCGUGUACAAGUCUCUUGGAACAGAGCGUCAUAGRGGGUGAGAAUCCCGUCUUUGACACGGACUGCCGAUGCUUUGUGAUACGCUCUCAAAGAGUCGAGUUGUUUGGGAAUGCAGCUCAAAAUGGGUGGUAAAUUCCAUCUAAAGCUAAAUAUUGGCGAGAGACCGAUAGCGAACAAGUACCGUGAGGGAAAGAUGAAAAGCACUUUGGAAAGAGAGUUAAACAGUACGUGAAAUUGUUGAAAGGGAAACGCUUGAAGUCAGUCGCGUUGUCCGGGACUCAGCCUUGCUUCUGCUUGGUGUACUUCCUGGUUGACGGGCCAACAUCGAUUUUGGUCGGCAGAUAAAGGUGGAGGGAAUGUGGCACCUUCGGGUGUGUUAUAGCCCUCUGUCGGAUGUGUCGACUGGGAUCGAGGAUCGCAGCACGCCUUUUUGGCCGGGGUUCGCCCACGUACCGUGCUUAGGAUGUUGGCAUAAUGGCUUUAAGCGACCCGUCUUGAAACACGGACCAAGGAGUCUAACAUGCCCGCGAGUGUUAGGGUGGAAAACCCUUGCGCGUAAUGAAAGUGAAAGUUGGGACCUCUGUCGUGGAGGGCACCGACGCCCGGCCUUGAACUUCUGUGACGGCGCCGCGGUAGAGCGUGUAUGUUGGGACCCGAAAGAUGGUGAACUAUGCCUGAAUAGGGCGAAGCCAGAGGAAACUCUGGUGGAGGCUCGUAGCGAUUCUGACGUGCAAAUCGAUCGUCAAAUUUGGGUAUAGGGGCGAAAGACUA
This 911-nucleotide ribosomal RNA is filed under the name Muscinupta laevis. RNAcentral describes it as "LSU rRNA". It matches the Rfam family "Eukaryotic large subunit ribosomal RNA", at positions 35 to 933 of the family's 3401-position model. The record is from RNAcentral. Lineage: Eukaryota; Fungi; Basidiomycota; Agaricomycetes; Hymenochaetales.